UACGAAGGGUGCAAGCGUUACUCGGAAUCACUGGGCGUAAAGCGUGCGUAGGCGGUUCGUUAAGUCUGUUGUGAAAGCCCUGGGCUCAACCUGGGAACUGCAGUGGAUACUGGCGAGCUAGAGUACGGUAGAGGAAGGUGGAAUUCCCGGUGUAGCGGUGAAAUGCGUAGAGAUCGGGCGGAACACCAGCGGCGAAGGCGGCAUCCUGGUCCUGUUCUGACGCUGAGGCGCGAGAGCGUGGGGAGCGAACUGG
This 253-nucleotide ribosomal RNA is filed under the name uncultured bacterium. RNAcentral describes it as "partial 16S ribosomal RNA". It matches the Rfam family "Bacterial small subunit ribosomal RNA", at positions 524 to 776 of the family's 1533-position model. The record is from RNAcentral.